AUUGAACGCUGGCGGCAGGCCUAACACAUGCAAGUCGAACGGUAACAGGAAGAAGCUUGCUUCUUUGCUGACGAGUGGCGGACGGGUGAGUAAUGUCUGGGAAGCUGCCUGAUGGAGGGGGAUAACUACUGGAAACGGUAGCUAAUACCGCUUAACGUCGCAAGACCAAAGAGGGGGACCUUCGGGCCUCUUGCCAUCGGAUGUGCCCAGAUGGGAUUAGCUAGUAGGUGGGGUAACGGCUCACCUAGGCGACGAUCCCUAGCUGGUCUGAGAGGAUGACCAGCCACACUGGAACUGAGACACGGUCCAGACUCCUACGGGAGGCAGCAGUGGGGAAUAUUGCACAAUGGGCGCAAGCCUGAUGCAGCCAUGCCGCGUGUAUGAAGAAGGCCUUCGGGUUGUAAAGUACUUUCAGCGGGGAGGAAGGGAGUAAAGUUAAUACCUUUGCUCAUUGACGUUACCCGCAGAAGAAGCACCGGCUAACUCCGUG
Molecule: ribosomal RNA, 490 nt
Filed under: uncultured bacterium
Lineage: Bacteria
Description: partial 16S ribosomal RNA
Rfam family: Bacterial small subunit ribosomal RNA
Source: RNAcentral